GCUCCAGUGGCGCAAUGGCAGCGCAGCCGAUUUGUAAUCGGCAGGUUAUAGGUUCGAAUCCUAUCUGGAGCU
Molecule: transfer RNA, 72 nt
Filed under: Chloroflexota bacterium
Lineage: Bacteria; Bacillati; Chloroflexota
Also listed under: 1 other name
Description: tRNA-Thr
Rfam family: tRNA
About the family: Transfer RNA (tRNA) molecules are approximately 80 nucleotides in length. Their secondary structure includes four short double-helical elements and three loops (D, anti-codon, and T loops).
Source: RNAcentral